UACGUAGGAGACGAGCGUUGUCCGGAAUCACUGGGCGUAAAGCGCGUGUAGGCGGAUGAGCAAGUCUGCUGUGAAAGCUCCUGGCUUAACCGGGAGUGGUCGGUGGAAACUGCUCGUCUGGAGGACGGUAGAGGCUGGUGGAAUUCCCGGUGUAGUGGUGAAAUGCGUAGAGAUCGGGAGGAACACCUGUGGCGAAGGCGGCCAGCUGGGCCGGACCUGACGCUGAGACGCGAAGGCGUGGGGAGCGAACGGG
This 253-nucleotide ribosomal RNA is filed under the name uncultured bacterium. Its description in RNAcentral is "partial 16S ribosomal RNA". It matches the Rfam family "Bacterial small subunit ribosomal RNA", at positions 524 to 776 of the family's 1533-position model. The record is from RNAcentral.